Molecule: transfer RNA, 66 nt
Filed under: Typhoptera quadrituberculata
Lineage: Eukaryota; Metazoa; Arthropoda; Insecta; Orthoptera; Tettigoniidae
Description: tRNA-Trp
Source: RNAcentral
AAGGUUUUAAGUUAAAUCAAACUAAUAGCCUUCAAAGCUAAAAAUAAAUCCUAAAUUUAAACCUUA